This 330-nucleotide ribosomal RNA is filed under the name Triticum aestivum (bread wheat). Its description in RNAcentral is "partial small subunit ribosomal RNA". Lineage: Eukaryota; Viridiplantae; Streptophyta; Magnoliopsida; Poales; Poaceae. The record is from RNAcentral.
AUGUGUGUCCCUGACCUCAGUAUUCUUAGGUGUGUUGUGUUAGGAGAUAAAUCUUAUAAUUUUGGAGCCAUUGUUGCACGUAGGUUGCAUCUUAAUAGAUUUAAUGGAGAUUUAUUUGGUGGAACUUAUGCAACCUGCAUAGCUAAUUUUCUUGGUAUAACCAUACGUGAGGAUGAUAUUGAGUUGCCUCCUGCUUAUUUGGAUUAUGAGGCUAUGGUUCUUCAUCAUUUUAUUGAGAGGAACGACCAGUUCCUCCAGUACCGACUAAUCUUUGACAGACGACGCACCUAUCACGUCGCUCUCCCUGCUUCAACUUUCUUUGACUUUUAG